AGCGAACGCUGGCGGCAGGCUUAACACAUGCAAGUCGAGCGGGCACUUUCGGCUGUCAGCGGCUGACGGGUGAGUAACGCGUGGGAACGUGCCCUCUUGUUCGGAAUAACUCAGGGAAACUUGAGCUAAUACCGGAUACGCCCUCUUGGGAGAAGGCUUGCCGCCGGAGGAUCGGCCCGCGUCUGAUUAGCUAGUUGGUUGGGUAACCGCACACCAAGGCGACGAUCAGUAUCUGGUCUGAGAGGGUGAUUAGCCACACUGGGACUGAGACACGGACCCGACUCGGACGGGAGGGAGCAGUGGGGAAUAUUGGGGGAGGAGCGCAAGCCUGGUCCAGCCGUGCCGGGGGAGUGAUGAAGGCCUUAGGGUUGUAAAGCUCUUUUAUCCGAGACGAUAAUGACGGUACCGGAGGAAUAAGCCCCGGCUAACUUCGUG
Molecule: ribosomal RNA, 435 nt
Filed under: uncultured bacterium
Lineage: Bacteria
Description: partial 16S ribosomal RNA
Rfam family: Bacterial small subunit ribosomal RNA
Source: RNAcentral